AUUCUUCAGCUCCCCUCUUGUUCUCUGAGUCUUACAGAUGUAUUCCUUGAAGCCAGGGAGGGUCUCAGAAAAAAGAAAACACAAUAAAAGACUCCAGGUUGGAAGGACAAGUACCUUCAGGGGCCUGCAUAAGGAAGUUUGCAGCCUACGCUGAAGAAAAGCUAGAAUGAUGCUGGCAGCAGUGUUAUCUCUCACAGAGCACUGCAAAUCCAAGAAAAGAGGAAAUUGAAUCUGUUAAAACACACCACCUCCUCCAGUUCUCCAAGUGACCUCAGAGCUGAAUGUCAAUGAACCUUCUCACUGACAGGAAUUCAUCCUUGGGGGAAGGCAAACGUCUUACUGACCAAAGGAUCCUCUCUGAAGAGAUUGCCAACCUGCCACCACCUCUAGAAGAAGAGCAGCAAACAUUCAGGAGAGAUAUCUAGCAGUGUUUCAACAGGAUUGAAGGUCUGGCUCAGAGUCCCUGGAGCUGACACAUUUCAAAUCUUUUAGGGCAUUCUGGAAGUCCCCUGUUGGUGCCUACCAAAACAUGGCUGAAUCCUGUGACAUGAGGAAGGUGAUUCUUCUCUCUCCCUCCCAGUCAGCACAGCAGGGUGAAACUUGCCAGUCAGUCCUGAGCUAGCACUGCAUUAGUAUUUUCAAAGUCUUAUCAUAAAUUAGGAGAAAAUCUGGAGUAGUCCCAAAUCUGCUUCUGAUUGCCCAUGCGUGUUCUACAACUUGGACUCUACAAGAUAAACAGUCUCAUUUCUACCACAUGAUUCCUGCAUUAGAAAAAAAGGAAGAAGGUAAACCAGACCUCAACAAAAUUAAUGAACAAAAAAAUAAGUAAAAUAAAAAAAAUGAAGUCCCUGGUAACUUAGAACUUGACCCAGACUUCACCAAAAUCAAUGGAAGACUUCCAGCCACCUAAUUAGCACCUUGACUAAUUCUAUACACAAUAGAUACACAUAUAUCUUUGUUACUGGAACAGAUUUUAGAAAGCCCAGUGCUAAUCUGGGCUCUGCAUGAAACCAAAACAGUACCAGUAUCCGUGUUUGCGUGCUGAGCACUUUUUUCUUUUCUUUUUUUCUCUCUGGUCAUUAAAAAACAGCAAUUUUUGCUUG
Molecule: long non-coding RNA, 1103 nt
Organism: Gallus gallus (chicken)
Lineage: Eukaryota; Metazoa; Chordata; Aves; Galliformes; Phasianidae
Source: Ensembl